AGCAAGCACCGGCUAACUCCGUGCCAGCAGCCGCGGUAAUACGGAGGGUGCAAGCGUUAUUCGGAAUCACUGGGCGUAAAGGACGCGUAGGCGGGAAGCCAAGUCUGAUGUGAAAUCCUAUGGCUCAACCAUAGAACUGCAUUGGAAACUGGCAACCUAGAGUAUGGGAGGGGGAGAUGGAAUUAGUGGUGUAGGGGUAAAAUCCGUAGAUAUCACUAGGAAUACCUAAAGCGAAGGCGAUCUCCUGGAACAAUACUGACGCUAAGGCGUGAAAGCGUGGGGAGCAAACGGGAUUAGAUACCCCGGUAGUCCACGCCCUAAACGAUGAACACUAGUCGUCGGGAUGCUUGUCAUCUCGGUGAUGCACUUAACAGAUUAAGUGUUCCGCCUGGGGAGUACGGUCGCAAGAUUAAAACUCAAAGGAAUAGACGGGGACCCGCACAAGUGGUGGAGCAUGUGGUUUAAUUCGAAGAUACGCGAAGAACCUUACCUAGCCUUGACAUUGAUUGAAUACCCUAGAGAUAGAGUAGUGCCCUUCGGGGAACAUGAAAACAGGUGCUGCACGGCUGUCGUCAGCUCGUGUCGUGAGAUGUUGGGUUAAGUCCCGCAACGAGCGCAACCCUCGUCUUUAGUUGCCAGCAGGUUAAGCUGGGCACUCUAAAGAGACUGCCUUCGCAAGGAGGAGGAAGGUGAGGACGACGUCAAGUCAUCAUGGCCCUUAUGGCUAGGGCUACACACGUGCUACAAUGGGGCGUACAGAGUGUUGCGAUACCGCGAGGUGGAGCCAAUCACUUAAAGCGUCUCUCAGUUCGGAUUGGAGUCUGCAACUCGACUCCAUGAAGCUGGAAUC
RNAcentral lists this ribosomal RNA (850 nucleotides) under uncultured bacterium. RNAcentral's name for it is "bacterial SSU rRNA". It matches the Rfam family "Bacterial small subunit ribosomal RNA", at positions 485 to 1333 of the family's 1533-position model. The record is from RNAcentral.